This 223-nucleotide ribosomal RNA is filed under the name uncultured bacterium. Its description in RNAcentral is "partial 16S ribosomal RNA". It matches the Rfam family "Bacterial small subunit ribosomal RNA", at positions 524 to 746 of the family's 1533-position model. The record is from RNAcentral.
UACGUAGGGUGCGAGCGUUGUCCGGAAUUAUUGGGCGUAAAGAGCUUGUAGGCGGUUUGUCGCGUCUGCUGUGAAAAUCCGGGGCUCAACCCCGGACUUGCAGUGGGUACGGGCAGACUAGAGUGUGGUAGGGGAGACUGGAAUUCCUGGUGUAGCGGUGAAAUGCGCAGAUAUCAGGAGGAACACCGGUGGCGAAGGCGGGUCUCUGGGCCGAUAUUGACGC